AGUAACUUUUAUGUGGAAAAGUAUGGAAAAAUGUUUUUCCCCAACUUAACAGCUUACAUGAGUUCUGGACCACUUGUCGCCAUGAUAUUAGCUAGACAUAAAGCCAUCUCUUAUUGGUUAGAACUUUUGGGACCAAAUAAUAGCUUAGUAGCGAAGGAGACACAUCCAGACAGUCUGAGGGCAAUUUAUGGCACAGAUGACCUAAGGAAUGCACUUCAUGGGAGUAAUGACUUUGCUGCUGCGGAAAGAGAAAUACGUUUUAUGUUUCCUGAAGAGAAGUUGUAAACCUUUGAGAAGUGGACAUACGAGGAAGAACACUGAAGUUUUUGGUUUGUUUUUAAUAUUUUUAGAGCAGAAAUAAAAUUUGGUGAUUUUUGUUAUAAGGAAAAAAAUGCAAAGCAUUGAGCAAAAUUUUGGAUUUUUUUAGUAUGUUAUUUUUCCUGUUAUGACUUAUUUUUCCCUAAGUCAUUUAGAUCUGUUCCUCAGUAUUUUCCACUGGAUAUUCAUUCAAAUAAAACAGAAAACUGUCUUGGAGAUUUAAAA
Molecule: long non-coding RNA, 543 nt
Filed under: Homo sapiens (human)
Lineage: Eukaryota; Metazoa; Chordata; Mammalia; Primates; Hominidae
Description: non-protein coding lnc-BRD8-2:1
Source: RNAcentral